Molecule: ribosomal RNA, 2800 nt
Filed under: human gut metagenome
Description: bacterial LSU rRNA
Rfam family: Bacterial large subunit ribosomal RNA
Source: RNAcentral
AGGGCGUACGGUGGAUGCCUAGGCACUUGAAACUGAAGAAGGACGCAACAAACGGCGAAACGCGGCGGGGAGCUGUACGUAAGCAAAGAUCCGCCGGUAUCCGAAUGGGGGAACCCGGCAUGCGUAAUAGCAUGUCAUCCGCAGAUGAACAAAUAGUCUGCGAGAGAGGUACCCGGGGAACUGAAACAUCUAAGUACCCGGAGGAAAAGAAAACAACAGUGAUUCCCUGAGUAGCGGCGAGCGAAAGGGGAGGAGCCCAAACCAGACCGAGGUCUGGGGUUGAAGGACCGCGAUACGGCAAGAAUCAUGGUAGGAGAACGGCAUUGAAAGGCCGACCGGAGAGGGUGCAAGUCCCGUAUCCGAAACCGUGAGGAAGCCCAGCGGGAUCCUGAGUACGGCGAGACACGAGAAAUCUUGUCGGAAGCAGGCGGGACCAUCCGUCAAGGCUAAAUAUAAGCAAGUGACCGAUAGUGAACCAGUACCGUGAGGGAAAGGUGAAAAGAACCGCGGGAGCGGAGUGAAACAGAACCUGAAACCGUAUGCUUACAAGAAGUCAGAGCACGUUAAGGUGUGAUGGCGUGCCUUUUGUAGAAUGAACCGGCGAGUUAUGUUAUCGUGCGAGGUUAAGCAGGAGAUGCGGAGCCGAAGCGAAAGCGAGUCUUAAGAGGGCGGCAGUACGAUGACAUAGACCCGAAACCGUGUGAUCUAGCCAUGACCAGGUUGAAGUUCAGGUGAAACUGAAUGGAGGACCGAACCGACCCCCGUUGAAAAGUUGGCGGAUGAGUUGUGGCUAGGGGAGAAAUUCCAAUCGAACACGGAUAUAGCUGGUUCUCCCCGAAAUAGCUUUAGGGCUAGCGUCGAGGAUGAGUCUUGUGGAGGUAGAGCACUGAAUGUACGAUGGCCCCAUCCCGGGGUACUGAGUAUAAUCAAACUCCGAAUGCCAUGAGAUAUUCCCGGCAGUCAGACCGUGGGUGAUAAGGUCCAUGGUCAAAAGGGAAACAGCCCAGACCGCCAGUUAAGGUCCCAAAAUGUAUGCUAAGUGGAAAAGGAUGUGGGGAUGCACAGACAACUAGGAGGUUGGCUCAGAAGCAGCCAUCCUUCAAAGAGUGCGUAACAGCUCACUAGUCGAGUGACCCUGCGCCGAAAAUGUACCGGGGCUAAGCAUACUACCGAAGCUGCGGAUUUGUAGUAAUACAAGUGGUAGGGGAGCGUUCCAUGCACGUGGAAGCCAUACCGAAAGGAGUGGUGGAGAGCAUGGAAGUGAGAAUGCCGGUGUGAGUAGCGAGAUGCAGGUGAGAAUCCUGCACACCGAUAGCCCAAGGAUUCCAGGGGAAGGUUCGUCCGCCCUGGGUAAGUCGGGACCUAAGGCGAGGCCGAAAGGCGUAGUCGAUGGAAAACAGGCAGAUAUUCCUGUACCCGCGAUGGAAAUGAAGGAAUGACGGAGAAGGCUAGCAUGAGCCACUUAUUGGAUUGUGGUCGAAGCGAAUAGCAGGUGCAUAGUCAAAUGCGUGCACGGGAUGUAAAACGUGACAGGUAAGCGAAACCUUUGGGGAGUAGCGAAGCAUGCGAGGCCAGCUUCCAGGAAAAGUUUCUAGUGCUGAUUCCAUAGCGGCCCGUACCAAAACCGACACAGGUGGGCAAGGAGAGUAUCCUGAGGUGAGCGAGAGAACUGUUGCCAAGGAACUCGGCAAAAUGACUCCGUAAGUUAGCGAGAAGGAGUGCUUAUGAAAGUAAGCCGCAGUGAAGAGGCCCAAGCGACUGUUUAACUAAAACACAGCUCUCUGCGAAGUCGCAAGACGAAGUAUAGGGGGUGACGCCUGCCCGGUGCUGGAAGGUUAAGAGGAUUUGUCAGUUUCGACGAAGCAAUGAAUUGAAGCCCCAGUGAACGGCGGCCGUAACUAUAACGGUCCUAAGGUAGCGAAAUUCCUUGUCAGGUAAGUUCUGACCCGCACGAAAGGCGUAACGAUUUGGGCGCUGUCUCGGCAGCAGACUCGGUGAAAUCUUAGUACCUGUGAAAAUGCAGGUUACCCGCAACUAGACGGAAAGACCCCAUGGAGCUUUACUGCAGCCUGAUAUUGGAUUUUGAUCAGAGAUGUACAGGAUAGGUGGGAGACGAAGAAGGAUGCACGCCAGUGUAUCUGGAGUCGACGUUGGGAUACCACUCUUGUCUGAUUGGAGUUCUAACCUGCGUCCAUGAAGCUGGACGGGGGACCGUGUCAGGCAGGCAGUUUGACUGGGGCGGUCGCCUCCCAAAGAGUAACGGAGGCGCCCAAAGGUACGCUCAGAUUGGACGGAAAUCAAUCGGCGAGUGCAAAUGCAGAAGCGUGCUUGACUGUGAGACAAACAGGUCGAACAGGGACGAAAGUCGGGAUUAGUGAUCCGGCGGUGCCGAAUGGAAGGGCCGUCGCUCAACGGAUAAAAGCUACCCUGGGGAUAACAGGCUGAUCUCGCCCAAGAGUUCACAUCGACGGCGAGGUUUGGCACCUCGAUGUCGGCUCAUCGCAUCCUGGAGCUGAAUUCGGUUCCAAGGGUUGGGCUGUCCGCCCAUUAAAGCGGUACGCGAGCUGGGUUCAGAACGUCGUGAGACAGUUCGGUCCCUAUCUGUUGUGGGCGUAGGAGAUUUGAGGAGAGCUGUCCUUAGUACGAGAGGACCGGGAUGGACCUACCGCUGGUGCACCGGUUGUUGUGCCAACAGCAUAGCCGGGUAGCUAAGUAGGGAAGGGAUAAGCGCUGAAAGCAUCUAAGCGCGAAGCCUACUCCAAGAUGAGAUCUCCCAUACGCAAGUAGUAAGACCCCUUGA